GUCCCUGUAGCACAAUGGAUAGCGGGUUGGUCUUCUAAUUCAAAAGUCGUGGGUUCGCGAAUCCCAUCUGGGAUG
This is a non-coding RNA of Trichonephila clavipes, 75 nucleotides long. Lineage: Eukaryota; Metazoa; Arthropoda; Arachnida; Araneae; Nephilidae. The record is from the annotation of a GenBank genome assembly.